UGGCGCACGGGUGCGUAACGCGUAUGCAACCUACCUCAAUCAGGGGGAUAGCCCGAAGAAAUUCGGAUUAACACCGCAUAAAAACACAGUACAGCAUUGUACAAUGUUCAAAUAUUUAUAGGAUUGAGAUGGGCAUGCGUGUCAUUAGCUAGUUGGCGGGGUAACGGCCCACCAAGGCGACGAUGACUAGGGGAUCUGAGAGGAUGACCCCCCACACUGGUACUGAGACACGGACCAGACUCCUACGGGAGGCAGCAGUAAGGAAUAUUGGUCAAUGGAGGGAACUCUGAACCAGCCAUGCCGCGUGCAGGAAGACAGCCCUCUGGGUCGUAAACUGCUUUUAUUCGGGAAUAAACCUACUUACGUGUAAGUAGCUGAAUGUACCGAAGGAAUAAGGAUCGGCUAACUCCGUGCCAGCAGCCGCGGUAAUACGGAGGAUCC
RNAcentral lists this ribosomal RNA (441 nucleotides) under Pedobacter sp. Z4_23_7. Its description in RNAcentral is "bacterial SSU rRNA". It matches the Rfam family "Bacterial small subunit ribosomal RNA", at positions 96 to 535 of the family's 1533-position model. RNAcentral also lists the same sequence under 1 other name. Lineage: Bacteria; Pseudomonadati; Bacteroidota; Sphingobacteriia; Sphingobacteriales; Sphingobacteriaceae. The record is from RNAcentral.